GACGAACGCUGGCGGCAUGCCUAAUACAUGCAAGUCGAGCGGACAGAAGGGAGCUUGCUCCCGAAAGUCAGCGGCGGACGGGUGAGUAACACGUGGGCAACCUGCCCCUUAGAUUGGGAUAACUUCGGGAAACCGAAGCUAAUACCGAAUAAUACAAGGAACCUCCUGGUUCUCUGUUGAAAGAUGGCCUUUGUGCUGUCACUAAGGGAUGGGCCCGCGGCGCAUUAGCUAGUUGGUAAGGUAACGGAUUAACAAGGCGACGAUGCGUAGCCGACCGGGAAGGGUGGUCGGCCACACUGGGACUGAGACCCGGCCCAGACUACUACGGGAGGCAGCAGUAGGGAAUCUUCCGCAAUGGACGGAAGUCUGCCGGAGCAAUGCCGCGUGGGUGAGGAAGGCCUUCGGGUCGGAAAGCUCUGUUGUGAGUGAAGAACAAGUACCGGCGUAACUACCGGUACCGUGACGGUACCUCACCAGAAAGCCACGGCUAACUACGUGCCAGCCGCCGCAGUAA
This 514-nucleotide ribosomal RNA is filed under the name uncultured bacterium. Its description in RNAcentral is "partial 16S ribosomal RNA". It matches the Rfam family "Bacterial small subunit ribosomal RNA", at positions 28 to 523 of the family's 1533-position model. The record is from RNAcentral.